This 76-nucleotide transfer RNA is filed under the name Halioglobus sp. RNAcentral's name for it is "tRNA-Phe". It matches the Rfam family "tRNA". Rfam says of the family: Transfer RNA (tRNA) molecules are approximately 80 nucleotides in length. Their secondary structure includes four short double-helical elements and three loops (D, anti-codon, and T loops). Further hydrogen bonds mediate the characteristic L-shaped molecular structure. tRNAs have two regions of fundamental functional importance: the anti-codon, which is responsible for specific mRNA codon recognition, and the 3' end, to which the tRNAs corresponding amino acid is attached (by aminoacyl-tRNA synthetases). tRNAs cope with the degeneracy of the genetic code in two manners: having more than one tRNA (with a specific anti-codon) for a particular amino acid; and 'wobble' base-pairing, i.e. permitting non-standard base-pairing at the 3rd anti-codon position. The record is from RNAcentral. Lineage: Bacteria; Pseudomonadati; Pseudomonadota; Gammaproteobacteria; Cellvibrionales; Halieaceae.
GGCCAGGUAGCUCAGUUGGUAUAGCAGCGGACUGAAAAUCCGCGUGUCGGCAGUUCGAUUCUGCCCCUGGCCACCA